AAAGUGCCUGUAAAUAAACCCUGAGUGGGCAACAUGAAUGGCCGCAGACCAGACAAAAUGAGAAUCCAGUUAAACAAGUGCAUGAAACAUGCCCCUUAGUCCACCCAGCCUGCAACACAAAAGCACAGAACAGGCAGCGUCUAAACCACAGACAUUGACUUCCUUCCGUUCUGGAGGCCGGAAGUCCAAGAUGGAGGGUCCCGCAGAUUCCGUGUCUGAUUGUUGCAGCAGAUCCAACUGAAGGAUACACCAACCACUUUAAUCAGACACAAAAGAACAGGCUGUCCUCACCUGACCACUACCCACAACAACCGAACUUUAAUCAGACACAAAAGAACAGGCUCUCACCUGACCACCACCCACAACAACCGAAGGGCAGGGUGAGUCCAUUUAGAGUCUCGAGAAUUUCAGACGUGCAUUCACUUUAAAG
This 430-nucleotide long non-coding RNA is filed under the name Pan troglodytes (chimpanzee). Its description in RNAcentral is "lincRNA". The record is from RNAcentral. Lineage: Eukaryota; Metazoa; Chordata; Mammalia; Primates; Hominidae.